This 352-nucleotide transfer RNA is filed under the name Xanthomonas euvesicatoria pv. alfalfae. Its description in RNAcentral is "partial 16S-23S ribosomal RNA intergenic spacer". The stretch from base 1 to 73 matches the Rfam family "tRNA". Lineage: Bacteria; Pseudomonadati; Pseudomonadota; Gammaproteobacteria; Lysobacterales; Lysobacteraceae. The record is from RNAcentral.
GGGGCCUUAGCUCAGCUGGGAGAGCACCUGCUUUGCAAGCAGGGGGUCGUCGGUUCGAUCCCGACAGGCUCCACCAUUUGAGUGAAACGACUUUGGGGUCUGUAGCUCAGGUGGUUAGAGCGCACCCCUGAUAAGGGUGAGGUCGUGUGGUUCGAGUCCUCCCAGACCCACCACUCUGAAUGUAGUGCACACUUAAGAAUUUAUAUGGCUCAGCGUUGAGGCUGAGACAUGUUCUUUUAUAACUUGUGACGUAGCGAGCGUUUGAGAUAUCUAUCUAAACGUGUCGUUGAGGCUAAGGCGGGGACUUCGAGUCCCUAAAUAAUUGAGUCGUAUGUUCGCGUUGGUGGCUUUG